Molecule: long non-coding RNA, 574 nt
Organism: Balaenoptera acutorostrata (minke whale)
Lineage: Eukaryota; Metazoa; Chordata; Mammalia; Artiodactyla; Balaenopteridae
Exons: 2
Source: RefSeq, a predicted model, not a curated record
UCGGUCGCCAUAUUGCAAAGCUAGCUUCCGCCAACCCCUUAAACCGCCAUUGACUUACGGUGCGCAUGCGCGCUCCGGGCACUCCGCUUCCCCUCUUCUCGCGACUAAGCAGGGCUGUCCCUGCCUUAUUCCAUCCCACCUUCGUUCGCGUAAACUAGGUCUCGCCCGGAGACCACGUUUUUGGACGCGCCCACCCUGCUGCUCGAAUUUUAAAGCGUGCCAAAGCUGUACGCCUGCGCAGUUCCAUCAUUCGCGCCUUUGUUUACGCUUCCGCUUCGGCAACAAGAUUUAUCCUCCAGCCUUUCUCCGCUCCUCCUGCUCGGCGCCAUCUUGUCUUCUUUCAGCUGACUUUACAUUGUUCGAAGUUGAGAGAGAAGGAGCCUGUUCCUGGCUCCCCAAGACUCAACCAUGGAAGGUACAGAAAGGUGUGUGACAAGAAACUUAUGGCUUUUAAUUCUGGCAGGAAGGACAAGGAAAACCAAGGAUAAAGAUUUGAUCAAGUUUUAUUAUUCUCCCACUGGAGAUGGGGGAGGGGGAAUCAGUCAUAUUUAAUAAACAUCUGUCUCCUCAUCCC